Molecule: long non-coding RNA, 1224 nt
Filed under: Trifolium pratense (red clover)
Lineage: Eukaryota; Viridiplantae; Streptophyta; Magnoliopsida; Fabales; Fabaceae
Description: long non-coding RNA (TPRA_LNC004293)
Source: RNAcentral
UACCGUUUCAAUUGCAAACAAGACGGGAAAUUUGCAAAGUAUUCAUAUAUAUUUGAUGAAAGUAUGAAACAUUAUCACUCGGCGACAAAAACAAAAUUGUAACAAUAGCUGAAACUACAUCAACCAAUUUACAGAUAGAGGCAAUAUACUUAUGCCUAGAAGUUUUAGGUCAGACCAAAACUAAAAAAUAAAUUCCACAACUGAGUAGUAUUCUUAUGAGAAAGAGAGCGGCAAACAUCAAUUAGCAAGCAAAUCAUCAACCAGAAAACAGGCCAUCAAAAUAAAAAUUGUUUUGCAUAAUUAUCAUAGUGAUCAUGAUGGCAUAUAAUACAUAGUCUUGCUGCACAAGAGUUGAUUCUGUUCAAGAUCAACCUCAAACAAAAGGAAUAAUUUAAUUAAUCUUUCGAAAAUAACUUUCAAGUAGUUUUUCCAUCAGCACCAAUCGGUUAAUAGAACAAAAGAAGAUCAAUCAAAAUCUUAACUAUAAAACCAAACUGCAGUAGCCAUUGAUAUAUGAAAUUAUGAAUAUUAAUCAAAGAAAGCAAUAUAUUUCCUUUUUACAUGUCAGAUUAAUUGCAUAAAGGCCACUAAGAAAUGCUUAUGUUAUCGGCCAAUUUUCAAGACAGGCGAUACUUAUGCCUAAUUGAUGUCCCGUCAAGUCAAAAUUAAAUAAACGUGAACCAAAAUAUACGACGGAAACACAUAGACUGAAUAGUGAUCGCUAACAAAAACAAAUACUUGUACAGCUGAUAAAACAGAAUAGGCAAAGAGAAAACCAAAUCAAUUUUCAGAAUGAUAUCAAACCAAUUGAGAGAAAUCGCAAAUCAAUGAAAAAUAGGGAUUCAAAACAAACAAAUUGGUGAUGUCUCUUGAUUGGUUCCAUAAAAACAUAUGAUCUUUCAGUAUAAUAUGUGUGAAUUAUGAUGCAUCAAACAACCGAAUUCCUCAAGAAUUUUUGUUUAAAAAAUAGUGCCUUUUGAUCAAUUUGAAUUUUCAACAAGAAAAUAUAUGACUGAAUUGAGCAUAGAACUAGUAUACAAAACUAGUCAUAUAUAAAACCAUGUGCUUGACAAAAUUCUUAAAACAAUAUUUGUAAACGAUUUUGAUUCUUCAAUCUCUCAUUUAAUAAAAUGAAUAAAAAUAAAAACACACCGCACAUGAUUUUGGUUCAAAGAGUUGCAUAGCCAUACCAAUUUAUUUACGGUUUAUCUACCGAAGGAUAUC